GCAGGUUCCCCUACGGCUACCUUGUUACGACUUCACCCCAGUCACGAACCCUGCCGUGGUAAUCGCCCUCCUUGCGGUUAGGCUAACUACUUCUGGCAGAACCCGCUCCCAUGGUGUGACGGGCGGUGUGUACAAGACCCGGGAACGUAUUCACCGCGGCAUGCUGAUCCGCGAUUACUAGCGAUUCCGACUUCACGCAGUCGAGUUGCAGACUGCGAUCCGGACUACGAUCGGCUUUCUGAGAUUGGCUCCCCCUCGCGGGUUGGCAACCCUCUGGACCGACCAUUGUAUGACGUGUGAAGCCCUACCCAUAAGGGCCAUGAGGACUUGACGUCAUCCCCACCUUCCUCCGGUUUGUCACCGGCAGUCUCAUUAAAGUGCCCAACU
This 387-nucleotide ribosomal RNA is filed under the name uncultured bacterium SA19. RNAcentral's name for it is "partial 16S ribosomal RNA". The record is from RNAcentral.